RNAcentral lists this long non-coding RNA (1082 nucleotides) under Malus domestica (apple). RNAcentral's name for it is "long non-coding RNA (MDOM_LNC020175)". The record is from RNAcentral. Lineage: Eukaryota; Viridiplantae; Streptophyta; Magnoliopsida; Rosales; Rosaceae.
GUUUUUUGCAAUUUUUGGCGUAUGCCAUCUCGAAGCAUAUACAAACAAGCUUGACGGUUGGAUUGUUGAAAUUAGUUUCGUAGAAUGCGUAUCCCAUCAAAACGGUAGAUUCACUAACACUUAGAGUUUAUUUAUACUUUUAUUAAGUAUAACAUAAGAUUUUGUGUUAUCUACUAUUGUAAAUUUUAAAUUGAAGAUCAAAUUCAUUCAUUGUAUUCAUAUAGGAUUAAAGAGUGUAGAUAUAAAAAAUAAUCAAAAUCGGAAUUAAAAUAACCGUUAAAUCGUGAUUUUUCGUUUUAUAACCAUCAAAAAGUUUUCUUUGGAUACUUGAUCUCUGAAUGUUUGGUUUUUACGAUUUUUCGCUGAUGCGAUCUCAAAGCAUAUACAAACAAGUUUGACAGUUGGAUCGUUGAAAUUAGUUUCGUAUAAUUCGUAAUUCAAUGGUAUACAUAUAUAUAUUAUGUUGAUUUAAAUCUAUUUAUUUUGUACGUAUAAUUGACCAGUACAUGGAGUAGUACAUCAUAUGUCAUUAUAAAAAUAGUGAGAUAUGUGUGAUAAAAAGUUAAUAACUUAAAAAAUAAAAUUUCUCACCACUUCUAUUAAAACACAUGGUGUAAUUUGUAUUCCCGUUACAAUGAAAAAAUUCUCAAGAAAAAAAAGGAGAGAGAGUUAAAUAAAGUACACGUGUCAGGAACACAGCUGUCGGAUCUUAUCCUAUCAAUAACAAUUAACAAGUGCACACUUGAGAAUUGAGAUGAGAGAACCAUGGUGGAAAACCCCACCGUACUACUAGUAGCAAGUAAAAUACCACUAGGUCCCGUCUUUCCCUCUCUUUUUUGUUUCCUUUUCUUAUAAUUUUCAUUUUUCCCUCCCUUUUUCUUCAAUGGGCGGAUGCAUCAGCAUGCAUAUUAAUUAUUAUAGUAUUUACUCCCAUCUUCCCCUCUUUUUUGUUUCCUUUUCUGAUAAUUUUCAUUUUUCCCUUCCUUUUUCUUCAAAGGGUGGAACGGUGAUUGCAUAUUAAUUAAUAAUUAUUAUAGUUUUAAGGGGUAUAAAAUUCAAUUUAAAAUUUAAUAUAUAUAUAU